AAUAACAGAAUUCAGUUUUUCCAACUUGCUUAAAUCUUCAAAUUCGUGCACUUUGAUGUUAUGGGUCUUUGAUUUAUCAACCCAUAUCAUCAAUUAACAUUCUAUUACACAACUUUAAACAAUCAAUUGUAUCAAAUAACAUCGAAUCAAAGGAUUUCUAGGUUUAGUGUUCUUAUACCCUUUUUGCCAAAAAUUCUUGAUUCUUGCUUCUGAUUUGUUAUGGGUGAUGGUUGGGCUUUGUUUAAGAGUGUAUGGGCAAUAUUGUACAAGGCAAUUAAAUGUAAUAUUUAAUCACUAGAUUUAAUUCUUAUAAUUUACCAAUUAACUUCUAUCCUUUGGUAAAUUAAAACACUUAUACAGUAACAUCGAAAUUAAACCCGGUAAUUAAAAUUAGGGUUUCUCAACGUCAUCAAUUAGGGUUUCUAAU
This 427-nucleotide long non-coding RNA is filed under the name Panax ginseng (ginseng). Its description in RNAcentral is "long non-coding RNA (PGIN_LNC009443)". Lineage: Eukaryota; Viridiplantae; Streptophyta; Magnoliopsida; Apiales; Araliaceae. The record is from RNAcentral.